GCGAACGCUGGCGGCAGGCUUAACACAUGCAAGUCGAACGGGCGUAGCAAUACGUCAGUGGCAGACGGGUGAGUAACACGUGGGAACGUACCUUUUGGUCUGGAACAACUGAGGGAAACUUCAGCUAAUACCGGAUAAGCCCUUACGGGGAAAGAUUUAUUGCCGAAAGAUCGGCCCGCGUCUGAUUAGCUAGUUGGUAGGGUAAUGGCCUACCAAGGCGACGAUCAGUAGCUGGUCUGAGAGGAUGAUCAGCCACACUGGGACUGAGACACGGCCCAGACUCCUACGGGAGGCAGCAGUGGGGAAUAUUGGACAAUGGGCGCAAGCCUGAUCCAGCCAUGCCGCGUGAGUGAUGAAGGCCCUAGGGUUGUAAAGCUCUUUUAACGGGGAAGAUAAUGACGGUACCCGUAGAAUAAGCCCCGGCUAACUUCGU
Molecule: ribosomal RNA, 433 nt
Filed under: uncultured bacterium
Lineage: Bacteria
Description: bacterial SSU rRNA
Rfam family: Bacterial small subunit ribosomal RNA
Source: RNAcentral